This 85-nucleotide ribosomal RNA is filed under the name Paenibacillus sp. OK060. RNAcentral describes it as "23S rRNA. Bacterial LSU". It matches the Rfam family "Bacterial large subunit ribosomal RNA", at positions 2840 to 2925 of the family's 2925-position model. Lineage: Bacteria; Bacillati; Bacillota; Bacilli; Caryophanales; Paenibacillaceae. The record is from RNAcentral.
GAAGACGACGAGGUAGAUAGGCUGGGGGUGGAAGUGCAGCAAUGCAUGGAGCUGACCAGUACUAAUCGGUCGAGGGCUUAUCCAA